RNAcentral lists this transfer RNA (73 nucleotides) under Ornithorhynchus anatinus (platypus). It matches the Rfam family "tRNA". Rfam says of the family: Transfer RNA (tRNA) molecules are approximately 80 nucleotides in length. Lineage: Eukaryota; Metazoa; Chordata; Mammalia; Monotremata; Ornithorhynchidae. The record is from Rfam by way of RNAcentral.
AGCAGAGUGGCUCGGUGGAAAGAGCCCGUGCUUUGGGAGUCAGAGGUCAUGGGUUCGAAUCCCAACUCUGCCA